GGUUCAAACUGUGCGAGUGCAGAAGAUGAUAGAUUAGAUUGUUAUGAGGGGAACAAGUAAAGAUGAUGGCAUGGUGAAGAUUUGAAAGAUUUAAUCUUGAUUGUCCAAAGUUUUCUGCAAUGUUUCAGGAAUGGCCAAAAGGUUCAUUAGAGGAGACUGUGCAAACACCAUAAAAUCAUGGGAGAUGGAGCUUUCACACAAAACCCACUUGAAGAUUUCAGAACCAUAAAUACUGAAAAGUUCAAGCUCUUUGUUAAUGGAAAUUAAUUAACCACAUGUUGUCUCAGAUUAUUUGAUUUUUUUUCAUGAGUUAAUUGAGUACAUUUUCCUCAGACUAAUUUGAUUGUCCUCUAUAUUCACAUGAUUUUGGAUGUCAUAGGAUCAAAGUUUCAGAACUCUUUAAGAUUCUGCUUUUUCCAAAAAGAGAGAUCACAAAAGACAAAGAGAACCUCCUCAAUUUUUAAUUUCUUUAUGCAUAAAAGUACAACUCCUUAAUAUUUUAAUUUCUUUAAAAAGUGAGUGUGUCUAUCAACGUUUGAGCUUCUAAUUUAGAAUAUCAUAAUUUGGUUUUUGUUAAUUUCAGGUUCAAACUGUGCGAGUGCAGAAGAUGAUAGAUUAGAUUGUUAUGAGGGGAACAAGUAAAAGGAUGAUGGCAUGGUGAAGAUUUGAAAGAUUUAAUCUUGAUGGUCCAAAGUUUUCUGCAAUGUUUCAGGAAUGGCCAAAAGGUUCAUUAGAGGAGACUGUGCAAAACACCAUAAAAUCAUGGGAGAUGGAGCUUUAACACAAAACCCACUUGAAGAUUUCAGAACCAUAAAUCCUGAAUAAUUCAAGCUCUUUGUUAAUGGAAAUUAAUUAACCACAUGUUGUCUCAGAUUAUUUGAUUUUUUUUCAUGAGUUAAUUGAGUACAUUUUCCUCAGACUAAUUUGAUUGUCCUCUAUAUUCACAUGAUUUUGGAUGUCAUAGGAUCAAAGUUUCAGAACUCUUUAAGGUUCUGCUUUUUCCAAAAAGAGAGAUCACAAAAGACAAAGAGAACCUCCUCAAUUUUUAAUUUCUUUAUGCAUAAAAGUACAACUCCUUAAUAUUUUAAUUUCUUUAAUUCAGAGUUGGAGGUUGAUAUUUGUUUACAUAACCUCUUCUAAAUAAAAUCAAAUAAGCUUUUCUAAACGGAGCUUUUAUCUACUUUCUGCAAUUUUACCAACUCCUUAAUAUUUGCACUUUUUUAUAGACAUAGAACAAUACAAAUUCAACUUGCCGCCAUCUUCGGGCAAGCUAAACAUUUUCAUAAUAGGAAAGAUCUGUAGCUUAAAUAUCUGCAAACGGUGAAGGCCAAGAUCGUUCUCUCCAACUGUGGUAAGAACCCUUCUAAUUUUUUCUAUCAUUUGUUUUGUGGAGAACGAAGUGAGAGGGAAGAAAUUCACAAAGAGCAAGAUCGUUCUCUCCAACUGUGGUAAGAACCUUUCCUUUUUUUUCUUUCUUUCUGCGUUUUGACUUCAGAGUACAAACUUUUAAUUUUUCUACAAUUUGUUUUUCACAUUAGGUUGUUGUCUUCUUUAUUCUCAUUUCUCCUCUUCCACUCCAGUAAGAUACAGUUUUUAAUCCUCAAUUCAUUUUUUUUGUACACGUUAGGUUGUUAUCUUCUUUAUUUUAUGCCUCAUAUGGGUGCAUGAUUUCAAAAAUGUCACCUUAUGAAUAUCCCUUGGCUUAAUAAUUUCCCCAAUACUAUAAUUCAUUUUAUUCUCUCCUCAUACUGUUAUGUCAAUUGAUUCUCUCAUAAUUAUUUACUAAACCUCUCUUCUACUUUCUAUUAAAAAGAUAUUCUUUUUAAUUUUUUAAGGCCAAGAAUUGCCACUCAUACAUUUACAAGUUUCAAUUCCCUUAUUUUGGAAGAUCACUCUUAUAAGGCCAAAUGUGACAUCUUCUCUUUCAUUUAUAUGUGCUUAUUGUGGAUAUUGAAGAAUUUAGUGGUUACAUAUUAGUAAUUAAUAUCAUUUAGGAAUUCCAUAGGGCAUGAUUAGUUAGUUAAAAUUUAUACAAGACAUUAAUCCUAAAAAAUAAAAAGUUAACCGUUUAAACAUUAAAUUUGAUAUCAAUGCCAAUAAAAACUUUCCACUAACCAUUUCCACUACAAUAACUACAAGUACUAACUUUCCACUAACUCUCUUAUAAGUCUAACUAUUUUUCUUCUCUAUUUGUGGCCAUUCAAUACACAAGCUAAUUUAUUGUUGAAUGCAUAUAUUGACAGGAGUGGGAAAGGGAAAAGCCUAAGCCAGGUGGUACAACUCUCAUUGAAAAGGAUAACGAGGGGGGAAGUGAAAGAAGAGGAAGAAGAAAAUGAUGAUUCUGAGAAGUAGGACAAAAAUAGUAUGCUAUAAACAUCAUGUUAUUGCAUCAGAAAGUUUGAGCUUUCUUAGUUUGUCUAGGCACCAUUACAAUGUAUCAAACAUAUUCAAUAUUAAUUGAGUUAU
Lotus japonicus is the source of this 2466-nucleotide long non-coding RNA. RefSeq lists it as uncharacterized. The record is from RefSeq and is a predicted model, not a curated record. Lineage: Eukaryota; Viridiplantae; Streptophyta; Magnoliopsida; Fabales; Fabaceae. The transcript is spliced from 5 exons.